AGCAACGCCGCGUGAGUGAAGAAGGUUUUCGGAUCGUAAAACUCUGUUGUAAGGGAAGAACACGUACGAGAGUAACUGCUCGUACCUUGACGGUACCUUAUAGAAAGCCACGGCUAACUACGUGCCAGCAGCCGCGGUAAUACGUAGGUGGCAAGCGUUGUCCGGAAUUAUUGGGCGUAAAGCGCGCGCAGGCGGUCCUUUAAGUCUGAUGUGAAAGCCCACGGCUCAACCGUGGAGGGUCAUUGGAAACUGGGGGACUUGAGUACAGAAGAGGAAAGCGGAAUUCCACGUGUAGCGGUGAAAUGCGUAGAGAUGUGGAGGAACACCAGUGGCGAAGGCGGCUUUCUGGUCUGUAACUGACGCUGAGGCGCGAAAGCGUGGGGAGCAAACAGGAUUAGAUACCCUGGUAGUCCACGCCGUAAACGAUGAGUGCUAAGUGUUAGGGGGUUUCCGCCCCUUAGUGCUGCAGCUAACGCAUUAAGCACUCCGCCUGGGGAGUACGGCCGCAAGGCUG
This 514-nucleotide ribosomal RNA is filed under the name uncultured Bacillota bacterium. Its description in RNAcentral is "bacterial SSU rRNA". It matches the Rfam family "Bacterial small subunit ribosomal RNA", at positions 390 to 896 of the family's 1533-position model. The record is from RNAcentral. Lineage: Bacteria; Bacillati; Bacillota.